This is a non-coding RNA of Cylindrotheca closterium, 73 nucleotides long. The record is from the annotation of a GenBank genome assembly. Lineage: Eukaryota; Bacillariophyta; Bacillariophyceae; Bacillariales; Bacillariaceae.
GCGGAUAUGGCGCAGUGGCACCGCAUUCGAUUCGUAAUCGAAAGAUCCCGGGUUCGAUCCCCGGUGUCCGCUA